Molecule: ribosomal RNA, 2904 nt
Filed under: Klebsiella aerogenes
Lineage: Bacteria; Pseudomonadati; Pseudomonadota; Gammaproteobacteria; Enterobacterales; Enterobacteriaceae
Description: 23S ribosomal RNA
Rfam family: Bacterial large subunit ribosomal RNA
Source: RNAcentral
GGUUAAGCGACUAAGCGUACACGGUGGAUGCCCUGGCAGUCAGAGGCGAUGAAGGACGUGCUAAUCUGCGAAAAGCGUCGGUAAGGUGAUAUGAACCGUUACAGCCGGCGAUGUCCGAAUGGGGAAACCCAGUGUGAUUCGUCACACUAUCGUUAACUGAAUACAUAGGUUAACGAGGCGAACCGGGGGAACUGAAACAUCUAAGUACCCCGAGGAAAAGAAAUCAACCGAGAUUCCCCCAGUAGCGGCGAGCGAACGGGGAGCAGCCCAGAGUCUGAAUCAGCUUGUGUGUUAGUGGAACGGUCUGGAAAGUCCGACGGUACAGGGUGAUAGUCCCGUACACCAAAAUGCACAGGUUGUGAACUCGAAGAGUAGGGCGGGACACGUGGUAUCCUGUCUGAAUAUGGGGGGACCAUCCUCCAAGGCUAAAUACUCCUGACUGACCGAUAGUGAACCAGUACCGUGAGGGAAAGGCGAAAAGAACCCCGGCGAGGGGAGUGAAAAAGAACCUGAAACCGUGUACGUACAAGCAGUGGGAGCACCUUCGGGUGUGACUGCGUACCUUUUGUAUAAUGGGUCAGCGACUUAUAUUCUGUAGCAAGGUUAACCGUAUAGGGGAGCCGCAGGGAAACCGAGUCUUAACUGGGCGUUAAGUUGCAGGGUAUAGACCCGAAACCCGGUGAUCUAGCCAUGGGCAGGUUGAAGGUUGGGUAACACUAACUGGAGGACCGAACCGACUAAUGUUGAAAAAUUAGCGGAUGACUUGUGGCUGGGGGUGAAAGGCCAAUCAAACCGGGAGAUAGCUGGUUCUCCCCGAAAGCUAUUUAGGUAGCGCCUCGUGAACUCAUCUUCGGGGGUAGAGCACUGUUUCGGCUAGGGGGUCAUCCCGACUUACCAACCCGAUGCAAACUACGAAUACCGAAGAAUGUUAUCACGGGAGACACACGGCGGGUGCUAACGUCCGUCGUGAAGAGGGAAACAACCCAGACCGCCAGCUAAGGUCCCAAAGUCACAGUUAAGUGGGAAACGAUGUGGGAAGGCACAGACAGCCAGGAUGUUGGCUUAGAAGCAGCCAUCAUUUAAAGAAAGCGUAAUAGCUCACUGGUCGAGUCGGCCUGCGCGGAAGAUGUAACGGGGCUAAACUGUGCACCGAAGCUGCGGCAGCGACACUAUGUGUUGUUGGGUAGGGGAGCGUUCUGUAAGCCUGCGAAGGUGGCCUGUGAGGGUUGCUGGAGGUAUCAGAAGUGCGAAUGCUGACAUAAGUAACGAUAAUGCGGGUGAAAAGCCCGCACGCCGGAAGACCAAGGGUUCCUGUCCAACGUUAAUCGGGGCAGGGUGAGUCGACCCCUAAGGCGAGGCCGAAAGGCGUAGUCGAUGGGAAACAGGUUAAUAUUCCUGUACUUGGUGUUACUGCGAAGGGGGGACGGAGAAGGCUAUGUUAGCCGGGCGACGGUUGUCCCGGUUUAAGCAUGUAGGCGGAGGUUCCAGGUAAAUCCGGUACCUUUUAACGCUGAGGUGUGAUGACGAGGCACUACGGUGCUGAAGUAACAAAUGCCCUGCUUCCAGGAAAAGCCUCUAAGCAUCAGGUAACAUUAAAUCGUACCCCAAACCGACACAGGUGGUCAGGUAGAGAAUACCAAGGCGCUUGAGAGAACUCGGGUGAAGGAACUAGGCAAAAUGGUGCCGUAACUUCGGGAGAAGGCACGCUGAUAUGUAGGUGAAGCCCCUGCGGGUGGAGCUGAAAUCAGUCGAAGAUACCAGCUGGCUGCAACUGUUUAUUAAAAACACAGCACUGUGCAAACACGAAAGUGGACGUAUACGGUGUGACGCCUGCCCGGUGCCGGAAGGUUAAUUGAUGGGGUUAUCCGUAAGGAGAAGCUCUUGAUCGAAGCCCCGGUAAACGGCGGCCGUAACUAUAACGGUCCUAAGGUAGCGAAAUUCCUUGUCGGGUAAGUUCCGACCUGCACGAAUGGCGUAAUGAUGGCCAGGCUGUCUCCACCCGAGACUCAGUGAAAUUGAACUCGCUGUGAAGAUGCAGUGUACCCGCGGCAAGACGGAAAGACCCCGUGAACCUUUACUAUAGCUUGACACUGAACAUUGAGCCUUGAUGUGUAGGAUAGGUGGGAGGCUUUGAAGCGUGGACGCCAGUCUGCGUGGAGCCAACCUUGAAAUACCACCCUUUAAUGUUUGAUGUUCUAACGUUGGCCCCUGACCGGGGUUGCGGACAGUGUCUGGUGGGUAGUUUGACUGGGGCGGUCUCCUCCCAAAGAGUAACGGAGGAGCACGAAGGUUAGCUAAUCCUGGUCGGACAUCAGGAGGUUAGUGCAAUGGCAUAAGCUAGCUUGACUGCGAGCGUGACGGCGCGAGCAGGUGCGAAAGCAGGUCAUAGUGAUCCGGUGGUUCUGAAUGGAAGGGCCAUCGCUCAACGGAUAAAAGGUACUCCGGGGAUAACAGGCUGAUACCGCCCAAGAGUUCAUAUCGACGGCGGUGUUUGGCACCUCGAUGUCGGCUCAUCACAUCCUGGGGCUGAAGUAGGUCCCAAGGGUAUGGCUGUUCGCCAUUUAAAGUGGUACGCGAGCUGGGUUUAGAACGUCGUGAGACAGUUCGGUCCCUAUCUGCCGUGGGCGCUGGAGAAUUGAGGGGGGCUGCUCCUAGUACGAGAGGACCGGAGUGGACGCAUCACUGGUGUUCGGGUUGUCAUGCCAAUGGCAUUGCCCGGUAGCUAAAUGCGGAAGAGAUAAGUGCUGAAAGCAUCUAAGCACGAAACUUGCCCCGAGAUGAGUUCUCCCUGAGACUUUAAGUCUCCUGAAGGAACGUUAAAGACGAUGACGUUGAUAGGUCGGGUGUGUAAGCGUAGCGAUACGUUGAGCUAACCGAUACUAAUGAACCGUGAGGCUUAACCUU